This 352-nucleotide unclassified non-coding RNA is filed under the name soil metagenome. RNAcentral describes it as "partial contains 5.8S ribosomal RNA, internal transcribed spacer 2, and large subunit ribosomal RNA". The stretch from base 1 to 120 matches the Rfam family "5.8S ribosomal RNA", at positions 35 to 154 of the family's 154-position model. The record is from RNAcentral.
GAUGAAGAACGUAGCGAAAUGCGAUAAGUAAUGUGAAUUGCAGAAUUCAGUGAAUCAUCGAAUCUUUGAACGCACAUUGCGCCCGCCAGUAUUCUGGCGGGCAUGCCUGUUCGAGCGUCAUUACAACCCUCAGGCCCCCGGGCCUGGCGUUGGGGAUCGGCGGAGCCCCCCGUGGGCACACGCCGUCCCCCAAAUACAGUGGCGGUCCCGCCGCAGCUUCCAUCGCGUAGUAGCUAACACCUCGCGACUGGAGAGCGGCGCGGCCACGCCGUAAAACACCCAACUCUUCUGAAGUUGACCUCGAAUCAGGUAGGAAUACCCGCUGAACUUAAGCAUCUCAAUAAGCGGAGGA